GACGAACGCUGGCGGCGUGCCUAAUACAUGCGAGUAGAACGCUGAAGGAGGAGCUUGCUUCUCCGGAUGAGUUGCGAACGGGUGAGUAACGCGUAGGUAACCUGCCUGGUAGCGGGGGAUAACUAUUGGAAACGAUAGCUAAUACCGCAUAAGAGUAGAUGUCGCAUGACAUUUGCUUAAAAGGUGCAACUGCACCACUACCAGAUGGACCUGCGUUGUAUUAGCUAGUUGGUGAGGUAACGGCUCACCAAGGCAACGAUACAUAGCCGACCUGAGAGGGUGAUCGGCCACACUGGGACUGAGACACGGCCCAGACUCCUGCGGGAGGCAGCAGUAGGGAAUCUUCGGCAAUGGACGGAAGUCUGACCGAGCAACGCCGCGUGAGUGAAGAAGGUUUUCGGAUCGUAAAGCUCUGUUGUAAGAGAAGAACGAGUGUGAGAGUGGAAAGUUCACACUGUGACGGUAUCUUACCAGAAAGGGACGGCUAACUACGUG
This 495-nucleotide ribosomal RNA is filed under the name uncultured bacterium. Its description in RNAcentral is "partial 16S ribosomal RNA". It matches the Rfam family "Bacterial small subunit ribosomal RNA", at positions 28 to 507 of the family's 1533-position model. The record is from RNAcentral.